RNAcentral lists this long non-coding RNA (416 nucleotides) under Lathyrus oleraceus (garden pea). Its description in RNAcentral is "Pisum sativum (pea) long non-coding RNA (PSAT_LNC016823)". Lineage: Eukaryota; Viridiplantae; Streptophyta; Magnoliopsida; Fabales; Fabaceae. The record is from RNAcentral.
UUUUAAACAAUUAAAAAUAUGCACAGAAACAAUUAAAUCAUGAAAAAUAUCAAAAUUAAUCCAAAAAAUAAUUUUAAUUCAAAAAAUGAAAGAGAAAAAUAUUUAAAGAUUUUUGGUGAAAGUCCCAUAUUUUUUGGAUUAAAAAUGAAAUUAAUAUGAACUUAAUCAAAAUAAAUGGAUUAAAUGAAAAAUCAGAAAAUAAAAAAAAAACAAAAAAAAAAACAAAGGUCAUCGGAUCUCCCUCAUUAAUUGAGGUGGCAGAUCCGAUGGCCAAGCGAACGCUUCCACCGAACGCCUCAGUCAACUGCGCCACAAACUUUGUAAUCACUUUGGAUGCGUGAGAUUAGAACAUGAGAAUCAGAUCAUAUGGCCUAGAUUGAUCCAGCGCACCACCGGAGCCCUAUCUUCGGUCAUCU